GCCUGUAGUCCACCUGGGAGCGGGCCCGGCGGGCCCGACGCAAGCGUGUAGGGAGUGAAUGAGCCCCGGAGCUCUCUUGAGCACGUAGGAGAGUCUUUUCGGGAUCCAGGCGCAACCUUACAGAUAGGCGUUGUUAAGCUCCCCAUUACUGGCAGUGGUGCCAGGAGCUUUACGGGAUGGAAAUAUGCGAGUCAAUCAGUGUGAAUGGUGUUGCUACUGUUUUCUCUGAGGAAGGAUCAAAGGAACAGUGAAUGAAAUAACUUGGCUAGAAUAUGGUAGUAACUUCAAAGCACAUGAGUGACAUAAAGGUUUUCUGCUCUGGAUGAUCUAUCUCUAAAGUGUCUUCCAACUCUAAACCCAUCGUCCCUGUCUACAGGCAUGUCUUCUAUUGCAGUUGCCACUGUGGUGAAAUUUUCCACGGAUGGACGAUUUCCUGGGAGACUUCUGUGAAGGGCAGUCCCCUUCUGGGGCGCUUGUGUUUCUCACCUCACAUGGAUCUGAAGAACCUACAUUUUUCACCAUGUCCAUACCUUCUUCAAGGAUUUUCACUCUAGAUCUACUUCUUCCUUUUCUGGAAGCUUCUUUAUCUUCUCAGAACUUCUGCUGGGAAAUAAUCGUCGUUGAUUCACCUGUCCUCAACUUUCAUUUCGUUUGCUUGUUUUUCCACAUGUCUCAGAGACCAUCGUUUACACCGGCAAAGUACUUUCCUCCAUUAAAGAAUGUCCACGCUGAGCGAAAUGGAGCAGACUGCAAACACCACACAGCGCAGUAGCCCCCUUAUCACACCUACUGGGAAUUGCUUGCACUCCCUGUCCUUGAAUUUUGGCCACUGUCGAUUGAAACUUUGUCUCUACCACAGCCAGAAUAUGUAACUUCCAAAAUGAAAGAUUUUGAUCAGAACCGGACCAGGCUCUCCUGCAUCAACGUCGACUUUGAUUCUGUAGUAUGUGACAUUGGUUAUGUCUUAAGCAUAUGCUGAAAUCUGAAGUACUUCUUGAAUUUUUGUACGGCAAGGCAACUGUUUUAUGGUGACAUGAUUCUCUCAGUCCACAGAUCUCUUUGUGGAAUCUGAAGGUCCAUGUUGUCUUCAGGCUCCUCAGAGCUAGAUUUAUUUUUUCUGUAUCUAUGAAUUUUUACAAGUCCUCACAAUAUUGGGACAAUUAUUCUACCAACACAGUGUGGGAUUAUUUAUUUGUUGAAAAAAACUAUUGAGCUUCUUGGAUGAAAGGUACUUCGAAAGAUGUAGUCAUUUGGAAGUUCAGUCUGGCUUCACUCACUCUCGGAAGAGCACCAUGGAUUGAUGGUCUUUGAAACAGCGCUUCAUGGAAACACCAGACACUCCACCAACCUGCCCCCAUCCAGGAGAUGUCUGUUUAAUUUCUUUUGUCUAAAGUACAGUGCUUGUACAUAAUAGGCACUUGAUAAGUAUAUGUUGACUUGAUUUAGAUCUAUGUUUAACUCUAUCAUAAGAUUUUUUAAAGAUAUCAAUUAAACCAUCUAUAAUAGA
This is a non-coding RNA of Microcebus murinus (gray mouse lemur), 1507 nucleotides long. Lineage: Eukaryota; Metazoa; Chordata; Mammalia; Primates; Cheirogaleidae. The record is from RefSeq and is a predicted model, not a curated record.